This 482-nucleotide ribosomal RNA is filed under the name uncultured bacterium. RNAcentral's name for it is "partial 16S ribosomal RNA". It matches the Rfam family "Bacterial small subunit ribosomal RNA", at positions 28 to 507 of the family's 1533-position model. The record is from RNAcentral.
GACGAACGCUGGCGGCGCGCUUAACACAUGCAAGUCGAGCGAUGAAAUCUUAACAGAACCCUUCGGGGCGAAGAUAAGACGGAUUAGCGGCGGACGGGUGAGUAACACGUGAGUAACCUGCCUUUUACACAGGGAUAGCCUCAGGAAACCGGGAUUAAAACCUGAUGAAACUAUCAAAUCACAUGAUUAAGAAAGUUAAAACUCCGGUGGUAAAAGAUGGACUCGCGUCCCAUUAGCUAGUUGGUGAAGGUAACGGCCCACCAAGGCAACGAUGGGUAGCCGGCCUGAGAGGGUGAACGGCCACAUUGGAACUGAGAAACGGUCCAAACUCCUACGGGAGGCAGCAGUGGGGAAUAUUGCACAAUGGGGGAAACCCUGAUGCAGCGACGCCGCGUGAGCGAAGAAGGCCUUCGGGUCGUAAAGCUCUUUUAUAUGGGAAGAUAAUGACGGUACCAUAAGAAAAAGCCCCGGCUAACUACGUG